Molecule: ribosomal RNA, 461 nt
Filed under: Babesia sp. NJ1
Lineage: Eukaryota; Apicomplexa; Aconoidasida; Piroplasmida; Babesiidae
Description: SSU rRNA
Rfam family: Eukaryotic small subunit ribosomal RNA
Source: RNAcentral
CACUUAGUGUCUGUAUUGGUAUGAUGGUGACCUAAACCCUCACCAGAGUAACAAUUGGAGGGCAAGUCUGGUGCCAGCAGCCGCGGUAAUUCCAGCUCCAAUAGCGUAUAUAAAACUUGUUGCAGUUAAAAAGCUCGUAGUUGAAUUUCUGCGUUAUCGUUUUCGUUGCUUUCGCUUCGUUUCGAUUUCGCUUUUGGGGUUUCCCCUUUUUACUUUGAGAAAAUUAGAGUGUUUCAAGCAGACUUUUGUCUUGAAUACUUCAGCAUGGAAUAAUAGAGUAGGACUUUGGUUCUAUUUUGUUGGUUUACGAACCUUAGUAAUGGUUAAUAGGAACGGUUGGGGGCAUUCGUAUUUAACUGUCAGAGGUGAAAUUCUUAGAUUUGUUAAAGACGAACUACUGCGAAAGCAUUUGCCAAGGACGUUUUCAUUAAUCAAGAACGAAAGUUAGGGGAAUCGAAGAA